AGCAGCCGCGGUAAUUCCAGCUCCAAUAGCGUAUAUUAAAGUUGUUGCAGUUAAAAAGCUCGUAGUUGAAUUUCGGGAUUGACACAUCGGUCGUGCCUUAAGGGGUAUGAACUGGUCUAGUCAAUUUCUCACCUUCUGGAGAACCGCGAUGCCCUUAAUUGGGUGUCACGGGGAACCAGGACCUUUACUUUGAAAAAAUUAGAGUGUUUAAAGCAGGCAUUUUGCUUGAAUACAUUAGCAUGGAAUAAUAAAAUAGGACGGCAUGAUUCUAUUUUGUUGGUUUCUAGGAUCACCGUAAUGAUUAAUAGGGAUGGUUGGGGGCAUUAGUAUUCAAUUGUCAGAGGUGAAAUUCUUGGAUUUAUUGAAGACUAACUACUGCGAAAGCAUUUGCCAAGGAUGUUUUCAUUGAUCAAGAACGAAAGUUAGGGGAUCGAAGACGAUCAGAUACUGUCGUAGUCUUAACCAUAAGCUAUGCCGACUAGGAAUCAGACGAUGUUAAUCUUUUAAUGACUCG
RNAcentral lists this ribosomal RNA (514 nucleotides) under uncultured Entrophospora. Its description in RNAcentral is "SSU rRNA". It matches the Rfam family "Eukaryotic small subunit ribosomal RNA", at positions 569 to 1078 of the family's 1831-position model. Lineage: Eukaryota; Fungi; Glomeromycota; Glomeromycetes; Entrophosporales; Entrophosporaceae. The record is from RNAcentral.